RNAcentral lists this unclassified non-coding RNA (212 nucleotides) under uncultured fungus. Its description in RNAcentral is "partial contains 18S rRNA, ITS1, 5.8S rRNA". The record is from RNAcentral. Lineage: Eukaryota; Fungi.
GCGGAGGGAUCAUUACACAAAUAUGAAGGCGGGCUGAAACCUCUCGGGGCUACAGCCUUGCUGAAUUAUUCACCCUUGUCUUUUGCGUACUUCUUGUUUCCUUGGUGGGUUCGCCCACCACUAGGACAAACAUAAACCUUUUGUAAUUGCAAUCAGCGUCAGUAACAAAUUAAUAAUUACAACUUUCAACAACGGAUCUCUUGGUUCUGGCA